GACGAACGCUGGCGGCGUGCUUAACACAUGCAAGUCGAACGGAAAGGCCCUGCUUUUGUGGGGUGCUCGAGUGGCGAACGGGGGAGGAACACGUGAGUAACCUGCCCUUGACUUUGGGAUAGCUUCAGGAAACGAGAGCUAAUACCGGAUAGGAGCUCCUGCUGCGUUGUGGGGGUUGGAAAGUUUCGGCGGUUGGGGAUGGACUGGCGGCUGAUGAGCUUGUUGGUGGGGUAGUUGCUUACCAAGGCUGUGACGGGUCGCCGGCCUGUGAGGGUGACCGGGCACAAUGGGCCUGCGGGACGGACCAGACGCGUACGGGAGGCAGCAGUGGGGAGUAUUGCACAAUCGGCGGAAGUGUGAUGCAGCAACGCCGCGUGCGGGAUGACGGCCUUCGGGUUGUAAAAAGCUGUCGCUUGUGACGAAGCGUGAGUGACGGUAACGGGUAAAGAAGCACCGGCUAACUACGUG
Molecule: ribosomal RNA, 468 nt
Filed under: uncultured bacterium
Lineage: Bacteria
Description: partial 16S ribosomal RNA
Rfam family: Bacterial small subunit ribosomal RNA
Source: RNAcentral